Molecule: small nucleolar RNA, 77 nt
Organism: Megalops cyprinoides (Indo-Pacific tarpon)
Lineage: Eukaryota; Metazoa; Chordata; Actinopteri; Elopiformes; Megalopidae
Product: small nucleolar RNA SNORD61
Exons: 1
Source: RefSeq, a predicted model, not a curated record
GCUAUGAUGAAAAAAGUCCAUUUUGACUGCUGCUGAAAAAUACCUAUUAGCAAUGUCCUCUAAGAAGUUCUGAGCUU